Camelus ferus (Wild Bactrian camel) is the source of this 72-nucleotide transfer RNA. It matches the Rfam family "tRNA". Rfam says of the family: Transfer RNA (tRNA) molecules are approximately 80 nucleotides in length. The record is from Rfam. Lineage: Eukaryota; Metazoa; Chordata; Mammalia; Artiodactyla; Camelidae.
GAGGGUAUAGCUCAAUAGUAGAGUGUAUGCUUAGCAUGCAUGAGGUCCUGGGUUCAAUGCUCAGUUCCUCCA